Molecule: ribosomal RNA, 752 nt
Filed under: uncultured bacterium
Lineage: Bacteria
Description: bacterial SSU rRNA
Rfam family: Bacterial small subunit ribosomal RNA
Source: RNAcentral
GUGGCUCGACAAGUCAACUGUUAAAUCUGAAGCUCAACUUAAAAUCGCAGUCGAAACUAUCGGACUGAGUAUAGUAGAGGUAAAGGGAAUUCCAGUGGAGCGGUGAAAUGCGUAGAGAUUGGAAAGAACACCGAUGGCGAAGGCACUUUACUGGGCUAUUACUGACACUCAGAGACGAAAGCUAGGGUAGCAAAUGGGAUUAGAUACCCCAGUAGUCCUAGCCGUAAACAAUGGAUACUAGGUGUUGAACAGAUCGACCUGUGCAGUACCAAAGCUAACGCGUUAAGUAUCCCGCCUGGGAAGUAUGCACGCAAGUGUGAAACUCAGAGGAGUUGACGGGGGCCCGCACAAGCGGUGGAGCAUGUGCUUCACUCCGAUGCAACGCGAAGUACCUUACCAGGGUUCGACCUGGAUACGCAUUUUUCUGUAAAAAAGAGUGCCGUUUGGAACGUAUACACAGGUGGUGCAUGGCUGUCGUCAGCUCGUGUCGUGAGAUGCUGGGUUAAGUCCCGCAACGAGCGCAACCCCUAUUUUUAGUUGCUAUUUUUAGAACUCUAGAAAGACUGCCGGUUAUAAACCGGAGGAAGGCAGGGAUGACGUCAAGUCAGCAUGCCCCUUACAUCCUGGGCUACACACGUGCUACAUUGGGCGAGACAAUGAGAUGCAACUCUGUGAAGAUUAGCUAAUCUAAAAACUCGUUCUAAGUUCGGAUUGCAGGCUGCAACUCGCCUGCAUGAAGGUGGAAUCGCUAG